UGGUGUUUGGUUUGUAACGGGUGGUUGGAUGUCUGCUUGCGCAGCAACUUCUACGCGUUCUUACCUCUUCAGUUGUGUUACAUGGCUCUUUUGCCUUGAACAUUUUGUGGGUUCCUGUGUUGCAUACCUAAUUAAUGGCAUUGUGUUGCUAGAACAAAGUUCUCUUUCGUAACGCGUUGCUUGCAGCGCUAACGAACAAUGAAGUGGUCUCUGUGGUCCAUCAUGUUGUUGCUAAGGCGUCGAUGUUAAGGCCCAUGGAGUAUUGCUUGGUCUCUUGGAUACGGAACCUCCUGUGGGCACAUGGUCAUUCAUGAUCAUGUCUUUUGUCCUAGAGCGUUUCGCUUCUCUGAACGACUGUCUAUCGUGCAAUGAAUUUUCGUUGCAGGUUAGGCUAUGUCAAAGAGGAAUGCUACCUGGU
RNAcentral lists this unclassified non-coding RNA (418 nucleotides) under Cicerbita muralis. RNAcentral describes it as "contains 3' external transcribed spacer, ETS". Lineage: Eukaryota; Viridiplantae; Streptophyta; Magnoliopsida; Asterales; Asteraceae. The record is from RNAcentral.